RNAcentral lists this ribosomal RNA (1344 nucleotides) under uncultured bacterium. RNAcentral describes it as "bacterial SSU rRNA". It matches the Rfam family "Bacterial small subunit ribosomal RNA", at positions 28 to 1381 of the family's 1533-position model. The record is from RNAcentral.
GACGAACGCUGGCGGCGUGCUUAACACAUGCAAGUCGAACGGAAAGGCCCUGCUUGCAGGGUGCUCGAGUGGCGAACGGGUGAGUAACACGUGGGUGAUCUGCCCCUUACUUUGGGAUAAGCCUGGGAAACUGGGUCUAAUACUGGAUAGGACCAUGCUGUAGGUGGUGUGGUGGAAAGAUUAGUUUCGGUAAGGGAUGAGCUCGCGGCCUAUCAGCUUGUUGGUGGGGUAAUGGCCUACCAAGGCGUCGACGGGUAGCCGGCCUGAGAGGGUGGACGGCCACAUUGGGACUGAGAUACGGCCCAGACUCCUACGGGAGGCAGCAGUGGGGAAUAUUGCACAAUGGGCGCAAGCCUGAUGCAGCGACGCCGCGUGGGGGAUGACGGCCUUCGGGUUGUAAACUCCUUCCAGCCAUGACGAAGCCCUUGUGGUGACGGUAGUGGUAGAAGAAGCACCGGCUAACUACGUGCCAGCAGCCGCGGUAAUACGUAGGGUGCGAGCGUUGUCCGGAAUUACUGGGCGUAAAGAGCUCGUAGGUGGUCUGUCGCGUCAUUUGUGAAAGCCCGGGGCUUAACUCCGGGUUGGCAGGUGAUACGGGCAUGACUGGAGUACUGUAGGGGAGACUGGAAUUCCUGGUGUAGCGGUGAAAUGCGCAGAUAUCAGGAGGAACACCGGUGGCGAAGGCGGGUCUCUGGGCAGUAACUGACGCUGAGGAGCGAAAGCAUGGGUAGCGAACAGGAUUAGAUACCCUGGUAGUCCAUGCCGUAAACGGUGGGCGCUAGGUGUGGGUUUCCUUCCACGGGAUCCGUGCCGUAGCUAACGCAUUAAGCGCCCCGCCUGGGGAGUACGGCCGCAAGGCUAAAACUCAAAGGAAUUGACGGGGGCCCGCACAAGCGGCGGAGCAUGUGGAUUAAUUCGAUGCAACGCGAAGAACCUUACCUGGGCUUGACAUGCACUGGAUGCGGCCAGAGAUGGUUGUUCCCUUUGUGGCUGGUGUGCAGGUGGUGCAUGGUUGUCGUCAGCUCGUGUCGUGAGAUGUUGGGUUAAGUCCCGCAACGAGCGCAACCCUUGUCUCGUGUUGCCAGCAUUUGGUUGGGGACUCGCGGGAGACUGCCGGGGUUAACUCGGAGGAAGGUGGGGAUGACGUCAAAUCAUCAUGCCCCUUAUGUCCAGGGCUUCACACAUGCUACAAUGGCUGGUACAGAGAGUUGCGAUACCGUGAGGUGGGGCUAAUCUCGUAAAGCCAGUCUCAGUUCGGAUUGGAGUCUGCAACUCGACUCCAUGAAGUCGGAGUCGCUAGUAAUCGCAGAUCAGCAAUGCUGCGGUGAAUACGUUCCCGGGCCU